Molecule: long non-coding RNA, 121 nt
Organism: Octopus sinensis (East Asian common octopus)
Lineage: Eukaryota; Metazoa; Mollusca; Cephalopoda; Octopoda; Octopodidae
Exons: 3
Source: RefSeq, a predicted model, not a curated record
CAGCUGUAGUGAUAAAACCAAAACAGGCUAUGAAACCUGGUGUGGUCCCUGACCUUACCAGUUCCUCUCAAGCCAUCUAACCCAUGCCAGCAUGGAAAACAGAUGUUAAAUGGUGAUGAUG